Non-coding RNA from Schizosaccharomyces pombe (fission yeast), 294 nucleotides. The record is from the annotation of a GenBank genome assembly. Lineage: Eukaryota; Fungi; Ascomycota; Schizosaccharomycetes; Schizosaccharomycetales; Schizosaccharomycetaceae.
UUUUUCCCGUUAAGGAGUUUUGUAAAUUUUUCAAUACUUCUUUUUCACGCUCUUCUGAAAUUACAGCACCAGUACCUAUACAAAAGGCUUUGUCUUCUUCAGAAUGGACAACCGUAGAAGUUUCAGCAGCACUUGGUUCUUUAUGAGACAUUUUUUUUACUAAAAUAAAUUACCAGAUAAUAGAAAAUCGGUAAACUAAUUAAAGACCAAUAACACAAAAUAGAAUAUCCGACGUUCUUGCAAAAAAUUUCAGGUUCAAAUGAAAAUUGCUUUGAUGUAGUGAUGAGAAAUGAA